AAGAAUCCUAGAAGCAAGCCUCGGGUUAGAAGACUUGAUCCCGUAGGUACAACCUCGGAGUAGACACCGACAGGUCAGGCUUCCUCCGAUCUACACCUCCACUCUAUCUCUCCCAAUCUAGUAGAAACUAGAAGAUCUAAUUCUACUCACAUUGGAUGCUAAGCCUAAAAGAAAUGUUAUGUAGAGGAGAGGUAUUCCUUCGAGGGCUCCUCUCAACUCUAUGAAAAACUUGUCUCCUCCAGGGGCCAGGGGGUCUGGUUUUAUAGUCCCGUCAAGUGAACGUGAGCCAUUGGAUCAAACUGACAUUGAUUGGACGGUUAUCCUUGAUCCUUUAGGUCAGUGGAGAGUAAUCCCCGAAGAGAGUCCUGUUUGGACUCCAAGUCAGGUCGGGCGCCCAGGUCAACUGGGCGGGCCCAGUGCCUGGCCCCGUUCGGCCUCCGCUUCCUUCCCGUGGCUUCUGGAGUCUUCUAGAUGUAAGAUAAUUGCGCGGCACGUUAAUAUCUCUAUGUAAACCUGAUGUGUGGGCCUUUCCUCCAAAUUUCCUGAUAACCCCCUGCUGAAAUAGACAAACACCAAAACUCGUGGAAUUCUGUCAGAUAAAACCCUAAGUCUAGGUGUUGGUUGCAUUUGGAUCCUUUUCUUUAUUUAUUUGAUGAUUAUAUUUGGUACUUAAGUACCGUCAACAACUCCCCCAAGCUUACCUCUUGCUCGUCCCUGAGCAAGGAUGAACUUAAGAGUUUUUGCAGUGGUUUCAUGCCUUAAAAGUAAGAUCUCAUCUCUGAGUUAGAGUAAACUGUUAAGACUUAAACUUACUUAUUUUACCUUUCACCAUGGUGCUUGUAACCGUCACUUGUGUCUUGAGCAGUUAAAAGAUAGAACGGUCAAGUCAAGCGCCAUGUCUCUUAUUCUUGAUCAGCUAUAGCUCUGGAGUUUUUGUAGAUUUUCAAAUAAAACUCAGAGAUUCCUUGAAUAACUCUCUUAGAUCUCUUGUUUGUGGUAUUUCUGGAUCCUUACCAAGGCAGUAAUGGUAUAUGCCUUCUCUCAAAGUAUGUGGUAUUUGUGGUAUGAGGCAUAGUGAUAUUGCCUUCUCUCUCACCCUACUCUAAUAAGGUUUUGAUAUCUGGAGCUCAUAGGUGGGAGACAGCUAAUACAUACUUACAAGACAUUUAUUGCAUAGUCAAACCAUGGAUCCAGAGAAACAAGUCAAUAAGUCAAAUCAAGAUGUGCAUGUGUGGUGAGUGAAUGGUGUAUGGUGAUGAUGGUGAUAAUAAUGGUGAAAAUCUAAUUCUACUUUUUGCUCUUUUGAGGGGAUACAUACCUUUCUUGCACUUUGAAGCUUUUUGAGGAGAAUGAGAUGCUCUAUAUUUUCUUUUUCUUUCCUCUCAGGUGGGUAUCUUGUACCCCUAAUUCUACUGUCGGACACUUGUCCAUUUUUACCUCUCGUCUCACUUUUUCUUUUCUUCGAGGUUCUGGGCACUUGCCCCUUUUUAUUUCCUCGUAUUUUUUUCUUUUUCUCUCUUUUUUUCUAGAGCACUCAUCUCUUGAAAUAAUAUAGCAAGUGGUAGUAACCAAGAUAACUUGAGCAUUUAUUUCAUAGGGAAAAACAGAAAUGUUUUUGGCUAUUCUCUCUCGGAUUAGGAGUAGAAUACUUUUAGGUGAAUCUGGAGAUGGAAUUGAGUGGAUGUAUGUGGAUACGUACUUCCGGAGUAGAAGCAGCAUGUGUGAGUGAACGUGCAAGUGAAUCUUGAUUUUAACCGCAUGACAAGAUCCUAAGGGUCUACACAGCUUGACCACACUCAAUGCUCAUAAGCAGUAAAAGUAAAUAUGUGGCUCAAAGUCUAAUAAGCAUGUAUAUAUGGCUGUGGUAGGAUUUUAAACUCUCAUCAUACAGGAACUCAUCAUGUGUUAUUUUAAAGAUUUUUCAAAGAUAAAAUUCUCCAGAAUUCUAGCAUCUCUAGGAAUAGAUAAACAGUAGCUCAACUUUCCCAUAUCAUAUCCGUUAAUGACUUAGACUUUAGAUCAAGUACUCUUCCCACAAAGUUCAGGUUUAGAGCAGGUUUAAAUUAUAACAGUUGUGCCUAAACUUGAGAGAGAGAUUUCAAUUUUAAGAACUAGUCAUGGCAGAGCAACUAUUCAUCAUUUCCAUGAGAGCUUAUCAUAAGGGUUCAUAGAAAACUUUAUUUUUUUAAAAAACUAAGCAAAGAUAUAUAUAAAAGCACAAAAUCUUUAUUUGGGUUUUUUUUAUGAUUAUGCAUCUUUUUAUUAUUUUAGUAAAGUAUAAACGCGAGUAGAAACACUUAGCUGUAUAAAUGGAGGUGCUCUCCCCCAAGCUGGAUUUUGACGUAAUUUCUUCUGAUGUAGCUAGCAGGUGUCGGAGGUGUAUUUGAAUGUCGGCAGCACCCUGACAGCGAUUAGGAUGUCCUCCGUCUGCUAGUCUUCUUUGAUCCUUGAAUUCUGUGGAGCUCAAAUAGACAACAAAGCUUUGUGGAACUGGUUAAGUGUUAGCAUAAAAUCUCUUUGUCUUUAUCAUAUUGAGCUUCCUUCUAAUAAAUUUUAUUUAGCAGGAUCAUGCACUUAUUAUUUAUAUUUUUAUUGUAAGAUGAAAACAUAUUUAUUUUAUGUCACCACAGUGAAUGUACUUAUGGCUUUUAUGCCAUGAGCAUACUCACAUGGGGCUUACUAUUUUUAAUAUUUUUAUUUUCUUUUCGAGAUGAUAUGAACCUGAUUAACUAAGCAAACUAUUUUAAAUAAUUGAAGGGAAAAGGAUAACUACCAAGUUUACCUCUUGGCAAGGCGUUCGGUGUUUUUAAGUUCUCCGAACGGGAUUCUCCGUUUUCUUAGUCGUCCUGGGAUUCGCUGGAUGGCGUAGUCAGUGGUUCCGGCGCGCCUCCUCUUUGUGUAUAACUAUCUUUUCUCUCCACACCUGACUUGGUGCUAGGGUCUCCUCAGGACAGUUCUGUUUAAGCUGUAUGUCUUCAGACCUUAUCACUUCUCCUUCGUAGUCUACGCAUCCGUCCUUGAUAAUUUGCCUCAUCUGGUUUCGGUUGCGUCGUCUUCUUCUUGUCCUGACCUGCUUAGAGUCUUCAACUAUAUAGUUAAGGUCAGUAAAAUAGCAGCGUACCUUCUCAGAGGGGAAGUGCAUGUGGACUUCUCCGAUUCCAAUAUAGAUGAUGGCCUUGAUAGUGUUGAGGAACGGUCUUCCAAGGAUGGUGGGUGGAUCAUACUUGUCUUCUCCCAUGUUAAUGACCUGAAAAUCAUCUGGAGCUGAAUAUAUAUUGGAUGUAGGGGCAUGGUUCCAUGCAGGAGCUGAUAAGUGACUGCGGCCAUUAUGUUGUCGUCAGAUCCGGUGUCGUAGAGUGUCUUCUGAAAAGAGUAUCCGUUGAUUGUGCACACGAUGCUUGGAACACCAGGGUCGUCCUUCUUUAUCAGGAAAGGUGACUUCAGUCGACGAUCUUGACCUCCUUGAACUGCAGUGACCAUCUUAGCUGACUCGGUCCACAUUUGCUUGUUCCUGUUCCUCCUGUUGGUCCUCUUCCUUGGUUUAUGUCGGGAUUACUCUGAGAUUUGUGUAGUCUUGUUCUUGAAGAAAAACGUCCUUCCUCCCCUUGAUGUAGAGACUAAUCUUGGCAGCACUGGGGCAUACAAGAUACCAACUCGGACGCAGAGGUUCUUCAAUAUUCCCUUUGGGAAACUUUAGUGUCCGAUCUGCAACCUUGGGCAUAAUGUUGACGCUGGAGCCAAAGUCGCAGAGUGCUUCCGAGAAGUCCACCAUGCCGAUGGAGAUCGGGAUGACAAGACGUCUUGGAUCGCCUCUCUGAGUAGUUAGGCCUCUGUUGAUUCCAACCUUGAUUUUGUUGAGGACGGUUGUAGUAGUUGUUGUUGUUGAUGAUGUAGUUUACAUCCUCAAGCAUCUCAGGGCAGUGAUUGCCUGAGUAUCUAGUAUCUCCAAUGUGUUUGUGCUCGUAGAUCCAAGCCCUUCACUUGGUGGAGUCUGGGAGUUGUAAAACUCCUUCAGGUUUUGCUCGAAGUGGACCUACUCAUAGAGACAAGGCAGAGAUCAAGUGCGUGGGCCCUGUUGGUGAAAAACACCAACAGAACCAAAAGUGUAUUUAUUCUUCUCUAACCUUAAGCAUAGUGAGCAAGACAAUGUUGAUGGAUAAUAAGAUCAUGAGUGUAGCAUUUAAAACAUUUGUCAGAUCAGAUUGCUCAACCUUAUGGAAAGAUAAUCUAUCUAUGUAUAUGUCUUUUUCUUAUAUCUUCCAAAAGAUUGAAUGUGCAACAUUUUAGAUUAUAUGAUUAGGAGUGUAGGAUCAUGGAGGUAGUACUAAGAACAAAGAUUAAAGGACUAAACAUGUUGAAUUAAUUGGGUUGGUUAAUUUGGAGUUAUAAAUCAUACAUGUUUGUCUCUUUAUUUUAUGUGUAUGCCAGAACCAAGGAGAAGCUUAUGAAAGUGAUAGUCGCGUACCUUAAGAUGUUACCUUACUUGAAGAGUGAUGGUAUAGUAUCACCUUGUGGAAGCUUUCCUUUCCUAGCGGUUGUGCAUCGUGUUUGUGGCACCCUCCAUAGAUCAUCUCUUGUGAUGAAUGAGCCAUGUCUUCCUUGUGUAAAUCGUUAAAUUUCAUGUGUCUCCUUUAUCUCCAAUGAGUUUAUAUCUGAGGACUUCCCAGGUUGAUAUUGAAAGUUUUCCUACAGGGGUUAGUCCGACAAAAUAUACCAAUGCAUACUCAAGCAGUUUUUAGUUCAGUAACCAAACUAGACUCCAUGUCUAAUCAGAUUAAGGAAGGCUAUUUAACCUAAGCAGCACGCUUAAUUUAAAAGCCAAUAGAAGUAUGUACAGUACUUCCAAACUAACAGUUACUAGGAUAAACAAAGGUAGCAUGAUGGCUUAUAGAGAUCUACUUAAGUGGAGAUGAAGUAGUGUGAUUAGUAUUUAAUAAAUUGAGCAUGUCUCAAAGGUAAGGACAACCAACAUAGCAACAUAGCAAGAGAUGUUUUUAUGUAAAGUACUCCCCCAAGCUUGAAUUUUGCAAAAUUCAAGAUUAGAUGAAUUUAAUUUAAUGUUGCAUGAUGAUUGGUUGGGCAUACCUUGCGCUUGUCAUUCCUCGGAUCUUCUUGCUCUAAUCCUAAAAAGGUUAGUGACACGAAUACCUGAAGGAAUAUUUCUACAAUUAUCUUUAUAUGAUUAAUACAUAAGGUAAUGUUGCAAAUAAUUAAAAGUUCAUGUUACGAUCUGAUCAGUGCUUGUUUUAGGACACUAAGCUUUUCCUUGGGAAACCAUCAAUUUAUGUCAGCAAAGUGGUUUCCCUUCCAACGCUGACCUAUAUCAAGAUGAACUUACCGAGAUCUGCAAUAUUUAUUAUAGACAUAUGCAUCGACAACCGCCCUUUUAAAGUUUUGAUAAAUAGAAAGGAAGAGGGGUUGGAGAUCUCAAAUGUGGUAAGGUUGGAAAGACCAAUUGAUUGGGGAGGUGUUUUAUAUGAGCAAGGACUUGGUGAGGUAUUUAUGAAAUAACUUCCAUGCUCACUGUUGUUUCUCUCAUUCUCAAACUCCAAGGAUGAUUCUUCAUAAAUGCUUAAAAUUCCUCUCGGAUUAUGUCUCAAGUUUGUUUUAUCUAUCCAUUCAAUGGUGAUAGCACAUGGAUUUUUAAUGCUCUCUAGCCAUUGAUGUUCCUCUUCUCGAUCCUCCUUGUGGUCUUGGUGACUCUUAUGCAUGGGAUGUCAAGAGAGAUUCAUAGGAUCAUCGGGAGGUUCAAGAGAAAGAGAAGAGUAGAAAUUAUUAAGCUCAAGGAUGGGUUGGAUAGCCGAAUCAUGGGAUUCAAAUGUUAAUAAAUUGGCUAUUGAAACUUCCUUUCCUUGUUUGGGAGAUGAUUCCUUCUCUAUCUCUAGGAAUUUUUUAUGAACACUAGUGCAAGAAGGAUCUCUACGAAUGAAGACAUACCUUCCUUUACUAAUAGAUAAAGAAAGGAAGACUCUACCAAAGGUUAUAUGAUUAAGACCAACGUGAAAAUAUCGAGAAAAAACAUGGUCUUGUAGGGCUAGGUUUAAACUAGAGUUUAUAGAAAGAUUAACAGAUUCCCUAGGUGUAGCUAAAAGUUCAUUAUCUUCUUGAUUAAAAGAUAGGACCUCAGCUAUAGAAAAGGGUUGGUUUUGACCUAUUGCAAUCAACUCCGGACACAGAUCAUAAUUAGGGGCAGGACUUGUUGACUCCCAUGGUCUAUGGCUGGUCUCCGAAGGUGCAAAGAAUUCAAUAAUAGGUAUGGAAUUUAAGUUAUCCAUAAAGAUAAAAUAAAGAGAUAAAAGAAUAAAAGUAUAAAAGUAUAAUACAAGAUAAUAUCAAGAUUCAAAGUUAUCUCAGCAAACCGUCUUUCUCCCCGGCAACGGCGCCAGAAAUGCUUGUUGAUAUUUGGUAACGCAAUAAGGAAAUUAUCCGCAAGCGCACGGAUAUCGGUGAGCAUUUCACCCGGGAGGUUAUCCAGAGUAUCGUAUUUAUAUUUUUACCACUGGGAGAAAGGGUGCAUCUGACUAACCAAAUCUAUUGCUACUAUCCCUUUCGGCUAUAAAGAAUGUUUCUCGAUGUGAGUGAUGUAUAGAGAAGACUGCAACCGUAGUCUCGUUCUAACCUUGGUAAGGAUGAUCUACUGUUCUAAUGGUGAGGCUCAUCGAAUCUAGACACCACAAAGGAUGUUCGACACGCACCUAUAAACCCUACCCGUCCUGCUAACAAGAUAUGGGAUACAAAGGUAACUCAGAAAUGUCACGUUCCUCGCUACUACCACGGUCCAGCUAGUCAGGGGAUAUCUAUGAGUACCCUAGCCUAAACACCACGUUUACGCUAGCAAUGAUUAAUCUAUUACUCAACCGGAAGAGAUUAAAGUAAACUCAUAAACCAAAGAACAAUAAAGCAAGAACUUACUAGAAUUAGAAGUCAAAUUACUGAAGAAUCCUAGAAGCAAGCCUCGGGUUAGAAGACUUGAUCCUGCAGGUACAACCUCGGAGGAGACACCGAUAGGCUGGGCUUCCUCCGAUCUACACCUCCACUCUAUCUCUCUCAAUCUAGUAGAAACUAGAAGAUCUAAUUCUACUCACAUUGGAUGCUAAGCCUAAAAGAAAUUUUAUUUAGAGGAGAGGUAUUCCUUUGAGGGCUCCUCUCAACUCUAUGAAAAACUUGUCUCCUCCAGGGGCCAGGGGGUCUGGUUUUAUAGUCCCCUCAAGUGAACGUGAGCCAUUGGAUCAAACCGACAUUGAUUGGACGGUUAUCCUUGAUCCUUUAGGUCAGUGGAGAGUAAUCCCCGAAGAGAGUCCUGU
RNAcentral lists this long non-coding RNA (7304 nucleotides) under Sorghum bicolor (sorghum). RNAcentral's name for it is "long non-coding RNA (SBIC_LNC001025)". The record is from RNAcentral. Lineage: Eukaryota; Viridiplantae; Streptophyta; Magnoliopsida; Poales; Poaceae.